UUUCCGUAGGUGAACCUGCGGAAGGAUCAUUAUUGGAUUUUGAAACUUCAGGCUGCUGCUGGCUCUCCUCGGAGGGCAUGUGCACGCUUGUUGUCCAUUAUUUCUCCCACUGAGCACAAAUUGUAGACCUUUCAGUAGGCCUAUGUUGUUUUUCACAAUCUCUGAAUGUAAUAGAAUGGUUUUGAAUCUUGGGAAAUACAAUACAACUUUCAGCAACGGAUCUCUUGGCUCUC
This 233-nucleotide unclassified non-coding RNA is filed under the name plant metagenome. RNAcentral describes it as "partial contains small subunit ribosomal RNA, internal transcribed spacer 1, and 5.8S ribosomal RNA". The record is from RNAcentral.